Molecule: small RNA, 122 nt
Filed under: Thalassiosira minuscula
Lineage: Eukaryota; Bacillariophyta; Thalassiosirophyceae; Thalassiosirales; Thalassiosiraceae
Description: partial transfer-messenger RNA
Source: RNAcentral
GCUAGUAUAUAGUUUAGACUAAAUCUAAAUUUUACAAGUUGUUCACAUUUUGUGAGCUAAGCCUGUAAGCACUUAUAUUAAUAGAUAUUAGAUGGACAUGGGUUCAAUUCCCAUCAGUUCCA